This 254-nucleotide ribosomal RNA is filed under the name uncultured bacterium. RNAcentral describes it as "partial 16S ribosomal RNA". It matches the Rfam family "Bacterial small subunit ribosomal RNA", at positions 524 to 776 of the family's 1533-position model. The record is from RNAcentral.
UACGGAGGGGGCAAGCGUUGUUCGGAUUUACUGGGCGUAAAGGGUGUGUAGGCGGCUGGACAAGUCUGGCGUGAAAUCUUCACCGCUUAACGGGAAGGGGUCGCUGGAAACUGUUCAGCUUGAGUAUGGUAGAGGCAAGCGGAAUUCCUGGUGUAGCGGUGGAAUGUGUAGAUAUCAGGAAGAACACCGGUGGCGAAGGCGGCUUGCUGGGCCAUCACUGACGCUGAAACACGAAAGCGUGGGGAGCAAACGGG